Small nucleolar RNA from Aotus nancymaae (Ma's night monkey), 140 nucleotides. Lineage: Eukaryota; Metazoa; Chordata; Mammalia; Primates; Aotidae. The record is from Ensembl.
AAGCAUGGCACACUGGACGGGCAUCCUGCUUCUUUUUAAAGAGCAUGGAUUUAUCCGUAACAUGCCACAUUAAUGAAAUGAGUUUUCAGGGCUGCCAACCUCUUGGUUAAGGUUCUGCACGGUAUAUUUCUCCUACAAUA